CUGGAGCUUCAUGUGGUUUGCAGAGUUACCGCCCCUGUCCGCCCGGGCAUCCGUGGCUCUCCUCCUCUGCAUUUCAUCCUCACAAAUCUGUGAGUAACUCCUGUCCCCAAAGGGCAUCCAUGGCUCUCCUCCUCUGCAUUUCAUCCUCAGAGAUCUGUAAGGUAGGUGAGGCUCAGAGAGUUACUAAGCCGUGUUUUCCCUUGAGUGCAUAUUAGAACUUGAAUCUUCCAUUCUGAAAUAUCCAUUUUGUGCUUUAAUUACUUCAUCAAAGAGGCUUCCAUCAAAAGGUUAACUGCCCUUUCUUUCAGUUUUCUCACCUCCAGAUUUCUACAAUUACCACUGUUCUAAUGGUUACGCAUCUGUAUGUCUAGAAGCAAAUCAACAGCUCACCUGUACCUAAACUUGCAAUGCAUAUCUACAUUGGAAUUAAGUUCCCUUGUGUUCAGGAGACCCCCCCAGUAUGUGUGUGGCUCGGCAUCCAGCAUGUUUUUGUAUGUUCUAAGAGUUUCUUACAAUUAAAAAAAAUGAACUGGUUAAUAGACAGAAGCCGUGUUUCUAUACUACUAGCCUAUUAUUCCUACCACUGUCUCAAUAUUUGCAUAGGCCAGCUUCCCCCACACUAGCACACUUUUACAUGAGUAAGAUCUCACCUCCCGUCACUCCCAGGUAACUUGCCAAUGCUGGUCAAAGAUUAUGAAAAUGUCAGGCCAACGUAUAUGGAAGAAACCUGGUUGGGGAAACAGUCUAGUCUAACAGAAUAAUAGAUAGCUUAAUAGUGUAGCAAUCAAAAAGACACGAACUGGAUGCUAUGACUAAAGUUGACUGUAAGGUAGGAAUCACCUUGGAAGGGUCUUUCCUGGAGAGAUCACAGGCUAGGAAGUAGCAUAUAGCCAUGGGAUCUGGUUUGUUGUUGCUUUCUUCUCCUUAGAAAAAUCAACUCUGCCAUCUUAUGAACUGAGCAGCAGCCCUAUAAUAAUAGGCCCAGAAGAUAAAGCCUCCCUCCAAACCCAAGGCCUGCUCAGUAGUUACCCCGUCACCAUCCCAGUACAAAUACCAGAAACGUGAGUAAAACCAGGCCUUUUAAGGUCACAGAAAACUGAUAGGUUUUCAAAGAUGGCUUAACUGUCCUCUCAGCCAAACUGCAGCAGACACAGGUCUGCAUUUCACUGGAGGCCCGAACUGGCAAAGAGUAACGUUCACUUCAGACGAAAGCAAACAAAGGAGAGGAUAUGAGUCAGACUUUCUUCUGCCACUAAACAAACCAUUAUUUUGAAGUGCCUUUCUUGUAUUUGGCCCAUAUGUAAUUGCAAAGGCGAAAGAAGCACUGCUCUGAAGCAGCACUGACAGACUUCUUGGAUCAAAAAACAAUCCCUGGAAUAUAACAUGCUCAAGACAUAAAGGGCAGUGUUCUUUACAGGUAGGCAGGUAGACCAUCCCUCUGCACUGUUUCUACAUUUUGGCAACUGUGGAAAAACCACAAACCGCUACCUUAUACCUGUGGUCUUAGAGCAGUGGUUCCCAACCUUGGGUCCCUGGAU
Pogona vitticeps (central bearded dragon) is the source of this 1538-nucleotide non-coding RNA. The record is from RefSeq and is a predicted model, not a curated record. Lineage: Eukaryota; Metazoa; Chordata; Lepidosauria; Squamata; Agamidae.